Cyprinus carpio carpio is the source of this 1988-nucleotide long non-coding RNA. The record is from Ensembl. NCBI's taxonomy places the organism in Eukaryota, Metazoa, Chordata, Actinopteri, Cypriniformes, Cyprinidae.
GGCGAUAUGAUCUCAGAUUGCCUCAGAUUAGAUGCAAAGCAUGUGAAGCCACUUGGAGUCCUGGAGUGGAUGACCUGAUCCGUAAUGACUACUGGCCUGCCACUUCUCACUAUUCAACUGUGUAUGCAACAGAUGUCCUUUUUUUCUUUUUGAAGAGCUGAAGAUGGCAGCACCAGGGAUGUCUAGCCAAGCAUUUCUUAGAAUGCUGGAUCAACGCACUGUUCGAUUUGGCCGUGUAAGUAUUUGUGGUAAUAAUUGCGUAACUCCAUAAAUAAUACUAUGAGGGCAUGAUGAUGAUGAUAGUACACAUGAACAUUUGCACUGUUUAGGAAAAAAGUUGUGUUCAAUUUAGACCCUUUAUAAACAACCAUAAACUCAUGUUCUCUCAUCAGCAGUUUGCACUGAGACAUUUCCAACAGGUAAUUCUGAAGAUCUCAACUUCUACUCCAUUGGCUACAGACUUUGACAUCUUCUCCCCAAUAUCAUUUCCUGAUCCCAGAAGUGUUCCCUUGGAUUAAUGGCCCAAACACUGCACAGGCUUACUUCUAAACAAUAUUGUAGCUGUUGUAGCCCUCUUUGUGUAAAGAUUUAAACUGAAUGUCAAACAAUAUCCUGUAUUUUUAAUGGCCAGGUCCCCCAAAUACACCAGUGUAUAGUGUAUGAGUGAAGUCUACACAUUGUUUAUUUCCUUUGAUAUGUAUUCUAAGGAGUGGUUACGAAGUUAGUACAAACAUCCCAUAUGUAUCCAUUUAGAACAUUUUACUUCAGUGUAGUAUAUUGUUUAAUUUGAUCCGUUUUACUGUUCUCUUUUGUUCUCUUUUACUGAACUCUUCUUUGAAACAGAGUGGAAACAUCACAGCAGACAGCUUCCGGAAAAAGCUUCUUGGAGUGGGAAGCUGUCCGAUUCGAAGUGGACAAAUUAUGCCAGGAGGACCACUUUGACUGCCCAGCGUGCAGCCCAGACAUGCUUGCAGUAUCCGUUGAUGGAAACCGUAAGCACUACAGAUUCAAGAGUGCAGCAAGAUCGGAGGAAAAAGCCAUCUUUGAUGGCGUGUUCAUCGCAAAUGAUGAUGAUGUCGCAAGAUUCGUGGACUAUGUCCAUACCUCAACCAGUCAUGUCUCUGGAAGAGGUGUCUGUGGAGGGCAAUGGUCAGCGGCGCGUGAAACUUCUCAGAAGUCCUCAGGAAAAACAGACGAGGAGGGCCUGGAACUCGCUGUAUGUCGUCAUGGGGUUCUCCUUCGUGCCCUCAAUAUGUUCAGGGGGAGAUUUUUUUGCCUACCCCCUGUACCUCCAAAAGCAAAUGGCCUGUAAGCCAGUUAAAUUUUUUGCAAUGGAUGUGGCAUGCAAGUACUGGCCUUACCUCCAGAGAGUGACAGAGAAAUGCCCUGAGCUUGAGGAUCUCCUCACCAUGAGGCCAUUUCUUUCUGUUUUUCAUGCCAAAGCUCAUGAUUUCAAAUGUGAGGUAAAAUGGAGUGGAGCAUAUCAGGAGGGGGCUGGUUCGACUCUUGGGGAAGAGGUGGAGCAGUGCAACGCCUUCCUCUCGAGGAUUGCUGUUACGACAAAGCACAUGUCAAAAGCAGGACGCAUAGACAUGCUGACGAUCAUGGCCAUGCGCUGGAACCAACAAAAGUUUGACAACUUGGCUUCUACCCUUGCCCGCCGAUAUCGGAAGGCCACAAUAGCCCUGCAAUGCCAGUUGCAUAACCUGGAGGCCAUGAAAACGGAAAUGGACGUCUCAGACAAUCAACUGGAGAGGUGGAUCAUUGAUAUCAAUGAGUGGGCAGAAGCAACAACAUCCCCAAAUGAUGCUGAUGUUGCCGCUGUUGCCAGCCGAAUUGAGGAGCUGGUGGCAAGUGUUAAGAGGAGGUCCCAGCGUCUUUACAAGGAUAGUGACGGAUGCAAAGGGACGUGCCCGAAUCCGCCGAAAGAUCAGGGAGGAAAAAUCUUAAAUUCUGUAGUGGAAAAAGUACAACACCUUGGUUCCUAA